AUUGAAAAAUAGUUUUUUCCGUAGACAGUGGGUGCGAAAGCGUAAAAGGUAACUACCCGCCGAGGGAUAUAUAAUAGAUGAUAUUAUAGAUCUCCCUAUGUCUACGGGGAGAUCUUUUUUGAUAAAUAU
Clostridium butyricum is the source of this 129-nucleotide regulatory RNA element. It matches the Rfam family "Ribosomal protein L10 leader". From Rfam's summary of the family: This family is a putative r-protein leader autoregulatory structure found in B. subtilis and other low-GC Gram-positive bacteria. It is located in the 5' untranslated regions of mRNAs encoding ribosomal proteins L10 and L12 (rplJ-rplL). The record is from Rfam. Lineage: Bacteria; Bacillati; Bacillota; Clostridia; Eubacteriales; Clostridiaceae.